Molecule: ribosomal RNA, 505 nt
Filed under: uncultured bacterium
Lineage: Bacteria
Description: partial 16S ribosomal RNA
Rfam family: Bacterial small subunit ribosomal RNA
Source: RNAcentral
GACGAACGCUGGCGACGUGCCUAAUACAUGCAAGUAGAACGCACAGUUUAUACCGUAGCUUGCUACACCAUAGACUGUGAGUUGCGAACGGGUGAGUAACGCGUAGGUAACCUGCCUGGUAGCGGGGGAUAACUAUUGGAAACGAUAGCUAAUACCGCAUAAUAUUAAUUAUUGCAUGAUAAUUAAUUGAAAGGUGCAAUUGCACCACUACCAGAUGGACCUGCGUUGUAUUAGCUAGUAGGUGAGGUAACGGCUCACCUAGGCGACGAUACAUAGCCGACCUGAGAGGGUGAUCGGCCACACUGGGACUGAGACACGGCCCAGACUCCUACGGGAGGCAGCAGUAGGGAAUCUUCGGCAAUGGACGAAAGUCUGACCGAGCAACGCCGCGUGAGUGAAGAAGGUUUUCGGAUCGUAAAGCUCUGUUGUAAGAGAAGAACGGGUGUGAGAGUGGAAAGUUCACACUGUGACGGUAUCUUACCAGAAAGGGACGGCUAACUACGUG